GAAAGGGUUCAAGUCCCUCUAUCCCCA
RNAcentral lists this transfer RNA (27 nucleotides) under Cissus verticillata. Its description in RNAcentral is "partial tRNA-Leu". The record is from RNAcentral. Lineage: Eukaryota; Viridiplantae; Streptophyta; Magnoliopsida; Vitales; Vitaceae.